GUGUUGGCUGCCGCAGUGAAGAUGGCCCCAGGGGCAGAAAUGGCCAGUCCCACCCCCAGACAGAACCUUGGGUGGGGGUUCAAGUGGUAGCCCUCUGGGUAGGGGGUUCCACGACCUGGGGCCUCAGUUUUGCCAGAGCAUGGGCAUUGGGGAAACCCAAUGCCCUCAUCAGCUGGAGGCUUAAAAGCAGCUUGGGGGAAGAGCCGAGUGUUGGGAGAAGAGUGGGGGCAGAGACUCGGCAACUCAUCUCAGACGUGUCAGACCUGUGGUUUGUGUUACCCAAAUAGGUUCUGUCUCCGUCACCCUCUCCAUGGGGACAGGCUGUGAGGUCCAUGGCAGCCUGCAGGAUUUAUUCAGAUGGCUCUGACUUUCUACUGUUUCCCUUCCCUGUUUCCCCUCCAUGCCCCCUGCCAGUUCCAUGGUUCCAGCUGCUGUCUUCCAGUGAGGCUCCCUGCUGCCUGUCCCUCUCCUUUCCAGGCCCUUCUGCGUGCAGCGGCCAUCUUGUUUUUCUUGCUCAGAAAUUUAAAAUGGUUUCUCGGCAUUCCCAGGGUGAAAUUCCUUCCCUUUCACAUGAUGCUCUGGGCUGUCUGUAACUGGCCUUAGCUGUCCUAUGCAGUCUCACUGCUCUCAAUUUCCCAAGGAGGACUACGAAUCCCAUAAAGCCAGGUGACUCACGUUUUCUUGCUUUUCCCCUCUCCCUGUUUUCACUAGUUAUUUUCCAGCUUCCUCUCACCACAUCCACCUGUGGCAGCUCCACUGUCUCCGAAGAGCUGUCCUGAUCACCCUCUCAAGAAGUGGCCCUUAUAACCACCCCUGCCACUUCGGCAAAAUCCCCUUGCGCCUAGCUCCUCUUUAUGGUACCUUUGUUGCACUCUGGUUCCUUAUGAGAAGUCUUAGGUCACCUAUUAGGAUAUGAGCUCUCAGAGGGAGGCUGGGAAAAAUAGGAAGAAAACAGAUAUCUACCUGGCACCCACUUUUGCCAGAUUGAACACGUUAGGUUCUUUUCGGGCAAUUAUGUCAUUUAUUUUUUACCAUAACCCUGCAAGGAGAGGAGAGCCCAUGGCUGGCAAGUGGUGUGGUCGUGGUCAGACGAGCCCUCAACUUCAUUUUUUUUCCUCUCUGAAUUCCUGAGAUCCCUUUUAGGAGGUGAAUCCCACAAAGGUGGCUAUUUAAGGCAUGCCGUAGGUCUCUAAGGCUGUGUGGGAGUUUGGGUGGCUGAUCUUCUUGUGCUCAUGAUCCGGGUCACUUAGCUGUGCCAUGCCUUCCUUAUUAACUUCCUCCUUUUCCUUUGUGGCCAGGUUCACUCAAUAUGAUGGUUUUUCUGUAGCCGAAAUUGAUGGUUUGACAAGCCAGUCCUGACUGCCUUCCUCCUGGAAGAGGAGGCAGAGGCUGGGUGGGUGAUAGCAUCUUCAGUGAAGGAUGGGGCCCCAGGCAGUCAAGGCAGGAGCAAAACCAUUGGGCUGGACACACUUAGGUUUGCAUCUCCAUCCUGGCUUCUCAGCUGGGUGAUUUUAGACGAGUCAUUUAAUUAUUUUUUUCAAGUUGUAGUGUUCUCAGUCUGUAAGGCAUAGCUAUGACAGCGUGUUAUAGAGAAAUACCUAGCACGGUGCCAGGCUCCUAGCAAUAAACAUGUCGCUCCUCGACCCCGUCCCAUCCAGUGGUUUUAUCAGGGACUUAAAACAUGCACAUAGCAGGUGACUGGAGAAGGAGGGAGUUUGUGUCCCUCUGUGAUGUCAUAAGCAGGGGCAGAGAGGAGGUUACCUGGCAGUACAAACCUAAGCCUUCAAGGUGAGGAAAUGCCCCUAGAGGAAAUGCCCCUUGGCUUUUGUAGCAAGAGCGUGCAGCGGGCACCGAGCAGUGAGGACUGGUGAUGGCAGAGUGAGGGUUAAGUAAUGAGCCUUCCUGGGAGCCUUUUGAUGCCAGGUUCGUUUCCCUUCUUUCCGAAUCUCAGCAGUGGCUGCCUGCUUCCUGACGCUGUUGAGUCCCGUGGGAGGGGAGCUGGGCACCCUGAUGCCCCUCGUCACCAGUUCCGGGGCUGCAGAGCAGAGAGUGACGACAGCCAGUGAUUCGUCUGUCGACGGCAAUGGGGCCCUGGUGACGGCUGCUUUGUUGUUUUUUUCCUCUCUGGAAGAUGACUCAGUGUAUCAGGAGCCGGGAGAUGGAGCUCUCAGCUGAGUGGCCAGAAUGUUCUGUCAACAUGAAAGCAGCAGAAACAGCUCAUUGGGGCUCGGAGCCGAUCCCUAGCCUGGGGUCAUUUUCAGGGAGGGCUGAUGAGAGAAGAAGGCCACUGCCAGGCAUGAGGAUGGGGGCGAUACCAGAGAAUUCAGGAGAGUGCAGCUUGGCUUGUGAGCUGGUGACAACCUCUUGGUGACUGGCUCAGCUGAGGAUGGUGCUGGUGUUCCCAGGACAGCAUCAUACUGCUGGGUGGCUCGCUUGCAUUUUAUUUGGAGCACACGUACACACACAUGAAGCCUGGCAGUCCUGCUCUCUGUGAUGCUGUCGAGCCACAAGUGUGACCAAUGUGACAUGAUCCCAGUCUUGUCAGGGAGUCACCACCAGACUGCUCUUGGAAACCAGAAACAGCAAGGAAAACAGGAUCUAACCCCAUGCCAGCCUUCCAGGUAAGUCAGGUUGACUGCUCCCGGGCCUUCCCCUGACCUCCUUCCCUUCCCAUGAAGACCAUUUUCCCUAUUCAGUGGGGGGGAUCCUCAGAUGUCUCCAUUCAGACUCUCUUAAACAAUUGCUCUCUUCUAUUUUCCUCCGCCUGCCUUUUCUGUGAAUGAGGUUAGUAACCAGCAAGGGGCUGGGGGAAGGGCAGCCAGCUGAAGUGACCCGGGUGCUAGAUCUGUGGGAGGUAGCUGGGUAGCAUUUCUGGGUGUGGUGGUGGCAGAGCAGUCAGGGCUUCCAUAGUAAGUGGACAGAAACCACUCUUGGCCCUCUGACGUCCCAUGUGAGAGUUGGGGUUUGAUCCCUCAUUGGCUCUAGAACUACAGGGACCUUGGACUUGCUUUCCCCUGUCAUCUGAGUGGGUGACCUUAGCCUUGACGGGCUUAGUCCAGGGCUGGUCUGGAGUGUAGACCAGCCUGAGCAGUGGGCUUCAGGGCUCUUCCCUUACUUUUGGGGUUCCCUUUGAAUGGAUCACUUUUUUCUUCUAGGCCUUUUCUCUGCCUCGCUGUUGCUGGCCACAGCACUAGCAAUAGUGAUGGAAAGUGAUGACCGCCUGCAGAACAGGAGGGCGGUCACAUACAGAGAGUGCCAAGAGCCGACUGUAGGUGCUUUCCCUGUCACCAGGAAGGGUUUACUGUAGGGUUCUUGUCCAGCUAGAGCUAUCUAAGAGCAGGUUUGUCUGGGGUCUAAAGAUAAAAGGAAUGGUGCUGCGUAAUUUUAUGAGGCACCCAUGGGCUCCCAUCCCUGUCACCUCUCUCUGCUUGGUCUUAAGAGUGUGAGUGCCUCCCUCUCUCUGCACCACUCCCACCACCUUCCAGGGAAGGCUGGUGAAGGCUGGUGAAUCCUCACAGUGCUUCAUCUUCUGUCCUCCCCCUUGAGACAAAUCUCUGAGUUAACUGUGAGCAGCCUGAGACCUUCCCCAAGCGAGGGCUCUCAGUCUCUUCCUUCAAAGAAUUUGACAAGUUCAGCAGCGUUGUGAGAUGACUGGGUGUGUUGGGGCUGGAGCACAAGUGAAGAGGCUCUGUGCAGCCAGGGAGGAGAGGCGGGUGAGCUAGUCCCUCAAGAUGUGUAGUUUAGAGUCUGACUAGCGUUGGCUGUAAGACUGGGGCCAGACAUACCUGCUCGCUGUGCUUGGGAGACUCUGCUUGCACAUGCGCAGCGUGUCCCCAGGCCUGGCUCUGGGUGACCUCUGCCCCCUCACAGCCCUGCCCUUGCUUGACUGGGAAAACCAGGGUUGGUUUUGCUCCGGUUGUUGUCUUGGUGAAUUGGGGUCGGUGCUUCCCAGCUCAUUUUCCUAUUUCGAUCUCUCAUCUAAUGCUUGGCUUCCUGUUUACCAGCCUGGCUGCCUUCUGCUCCCAUGAUGGAGGGCGUUGUGUGUUGCCAGUCACACAAGCAGGACAAGUGGCACCCCUUGAGAGAGAGGCACUUUUUCUUGACCUUUGAGUCCCUGAGGUCUGAGAGCUAGGAGGCAGGGGCCCUUGCAUCCGGGAUCCAGCAGAGGUUAACAGAGCACUGGAGCGGAGGUGGCGUGGCUUGGCUGGGAGUUGUGCGGGCGGGACCCUGCCAAGGCCCCUGAUUGGUCAGCACCUUCUCUAUUCCAUUGACUCCUAGUCCUGUCAGGGCUGUGAAUUGUUUAAUGCAUAUGUUGGCUCUGUCCCCUGGCUUGAGUGCCCCUGAAGCUGCAGCCACAGCUUUAGAGAGGAACUGUACCUUGUAUUGGUCACUUUUUUUGGAUGUGUGGCUUCCCUCUGAGAUAUGUAAGAGAUACCACCCUUUUCCACCAGCCGGCUGUCUGUGGGAGGCACUCGUUUUGCUUUGCUUUUCUGGGACUUGCAGUGGCUGUGAGGAAAGUAUAGACUGGGUUUGGCUCCCUGCUGGCUCCUUCCACCGGAGCUGUUCAUGGGCUGAUCGAGCCAGAGAACACCCCCAGGGCCUCAUGGUCUCUGCAGAGCCUGGUGCUGCAGUGUGAAGCUUGUGUAGGGUGGGUGGAGUGCCAGCGCAGGGAUGGAGACAGCCUCAUGGCGCAGUGGCUAUACACGGUUGUAUCACAAGAGCAGGACCAGAAAGAUGUGGGAGGACAAGUCCAGUGCUCAUCCAGAGAUGCCUGCCAUGGCCCAGGACAGAUGUGUGUUCCCUAUGAAGGGUUCCCAUCUUGAACACCUGGCGCCAUGGAUGGUGUGGUACCAGGUUGGGUCCGUCACGAGGCAUGAAGGUAUGAGAUGCAUCCGAGUUCUCAGUUCCUGCCUACCAUCCAGGGAAAGGAAUCUGACCUUUGUUAAGGGCCAUUUGCUUAUCUGAUUUCAUCUUCAGAACAACCAUGUGACGUAGGCAUUAUUUCCCUUUUACAGUUAAAGGAACUGUGAUUAAGUGACUUAACCAAGCUCACACAUUUGGUGAGUGGGGUUGUUUUUAAAUCCAGCACUUCUGAUUCCAAAACCUAUAAUUUCUCCUCACCCUGGUUUUCCAGAGUCAAAUAUUUCUGUGAGCUAAGACCCUCAGAGAAUUAAUAUGAACCAGAGUGAAAGGCAGUCACCCAAGGACCCUCCCCAGGGGUGGCUCUGUAUGUUCCCUUUUGGAGAGGCCAGGAAGACGCAGACAGCCUUUGGUACCCAGGGACCAGCAGGACUGAGCAAGGCAAAUACGUUCCUUACCAAAUGUGUAUGGAGCUUCUCCUAGAUGCUGGGGCUGUGCUAGGUGCUGGGUUGCAGAGUCAACAAACCAAGUUUUUAUUCUUGGGGAACAUGGAUUCUAGUGGGGAGAGAGAUCAUUAGUUAAAAAAUUUAAAAAUAUAUAUAGUUUACAAAAAUGUAUGCACAAUAUAGAGAUUGUGUGAGGGUGAAGGAACAGGGUAGCACACGCAAUCAGGGGGUCCAGAUGAUAGGAGGGGAUGGAAAGACGGAAGGACCUCAGCUUCCUGGGAAGCCAUGCCGGUUGAACUUUCCUCCAGAGGUUGAGAUUGAUAGAGACACUAAUCCCUUUUCUUCCCAAUAGAAGCAUCCUCCCAAGGCCCCCAUAGCUUACAGGAACAUGUAAUGAAUUAGGAGUCCAGGUGGGAGUAGACGUCACCAGUGAAUGAGGUUUUUCCAUUUGCCACGGCCAUCCCUGGCUUUCUGUCUCCCAUCCUCUCCUGUGCCAGCUGGCUUCUGUGUCUAAGCCUGGUCAUCGUGCCUCUCUUGUCCAUGCAGCACAGGGAACAUUUGGGUCAGGUCUUUGCCGAGUCACUGGUCAAAUAUGUGCCUGCAGGAGGCACAGCCCCUCUGCCAGGACGCGUGGUUCCUGGAGCUGAUGAUCGUGACCAGCAAGGGACAGGCGCCGGCAGAGGAGAAGUCGCCUUGUGUUAGAUUGCCUGGGUUUGCUUUGUGUCUUGAGAGGCUGAGUAGGUUGGAGGGCAUGUGUGCAGGGCAUGCAGCUCCUGGGCUCAGGCCUUGGUCACUUGGGGGAAGCAGCUGCUGGGCCCACUGUGAGUCAAACUCUGGGCUUCCUCUCCUUGGCCCUUGGUGCCUGACCAACCCAGACCAAGGAAGCUGCCAUCCGUUGCCAGGGAUCUGAAGUUGCCAGGGGUCUGAAGUUGCCAGGGAUGAGGUAGAGUGAUGGGGAGCUUGGGAAAGAGGCAGGUCAGGGGAAAUGGUGUUUACACUGCUUGGUGCAGAGGAGUUAGCAGACCUGCAUUCUCGUCCUGGCUUUGUUGAUAGAACUCAUUCACUUUAGCCAAUGGCGGGGGUGAGGGGGGAGCCCUCAGAUUCCUUACGUGAGGGUGUUAAAGCAGAGAUUCCAACUCUUUUACCACGGGUCCUUUCCUGGAUGCUCAUAGAGGUGUUGCUUAGUCAGAAACUCGGGAUCAGGAAAUGGAGACCUGAGUCACCAUGAAAGAAAGAAGGGGGAAGAGGGAUCUUGAAGACCUGAUAGCAGUCAGAAUCCCCAUUGCAAAGAGGCGCUGCUGGCAUGAAUUAGCGUGGGUGGGUAGAGAUCGGGUUUGAAGGACUUUCCAGAAGGAGGAGGGAAGGGCUAGAGAUGGAGUCAAGGUGAUUGAUGCAGUCCCAUCCAUGUCCCCCCCCUCCCCCGUGACAGAGGAUAGACAGGACUGCUGCUGAGAGGCUUGCGGGAGAAGAGGGACAAGGGGGACGUGGGAGCUGCUGGUGGGGCUUGCUGUGCUGAGCAGGGCUGGCUUAAGAGACCAUUCUACAGGGGAGAUGCUGGGUCCUGUUUGUCCCUAAGUCCUAGGUGGUGUGGGGCUGUGCACUCCAGGAGGGUAUCUGUUCCAGGCUCCUCCCCCUGUGUCAAGAGGUUUUCCUUGGUAUUUAGCUUUCUUUUUUUCAUGUGGUUGUUUAAGGCCCUCAAUUAAAAACUAAAUUUAAAAAAAAAAGAGACAAAGAUGAAGAAAAGGUAAUAACAAAACUAAGAAAUGAAGAUCUCAGAACUGCCAGUUCCUUUUUGGUUUUUAAAUCUUGAAUCAUUCUUAAAAAGAGCUAAAAUAAAACACAUGAAGGCAGGCCCAGGGCCCCAGGCACAGCGAACAGCAGCCGGGAGUGGUUGGGACUCUGGCUUAGCUGCUGCAUGGCAGCCUCAGUCCCAGACAGACAUCAACCACGUCUCCAAGGCGCUGUGGGUAAGAACCCCUGGAGCUGAGGGGCACGUUGUGCAAUCUACUGAACAGGAUGCAGAAUUAUAAAAAUAGCUACAUUUCUCCAAGACACUGUCUGCUUUCCACUUCACCAGGCAUUUACCUGGGAUUAACAAUUACUGUGAGCUUGUCCCUCCCUCCCUUAGUAUGGUAUAGUGACAGGGAUUUGGGCUAGGACACAGGCGGGAGGGGAAGGAAAUGAUUAGUAACCAUCAUAUCACUCGUACAUGGUUCUUUUCAAAUUUGCUGGCUCACUUGGUCCUCAUGCAACCCUGUGCGGGUAGGUGGCACUAGCCUGUCAUUGAUGAAACUGAGCCAGGCAGAGGCCUGCCAAGACCUGACUGCUUGUACCUGCUUACUUGGAGUCUCCCACCCACCUCCUCUGACUCUAGCUGUCAUUUCCCUGGGAUCUGACCAGGGAAAUGGGUUGGGGAUAGGAGUAGAGGAGUGGACAGUGUACUUUGAUCCCUUAGGUCCUUUGCUUCUCUAUAUGUGUGAGAGUAAAAGGAAAUCUCAGACUGUUCAUAUUCUCCUAUUCUCUGAUUUUUUUUUAACUUCUUGGAGCUCUUGGGAGAGCUGGCUUGUACUUCUUAGCUGGGAAGUCAGCCAAUUAUCAUGUGUGCCUGGAGAGGUUUUCUACAUGUGGAAGCUUCUGGAAUACGUGGUGCUUGAAACCAUUCUGAUACCUUUGUAGAGCAUUUCAUGCAUGUGCAUACAGACCUGUUUCUGCUGCUGUCGCUCACUUAGAGAUGAGGCCUUGCUGUGGAAUAUUUGUAAUUUUUUUCCAACAGAUUUGUAAGGGAUGCCCAGAGCUUUGCCUAGCAUGCAUGUUGUGUGUAUGUUACCUGUUUGUACAGCACCUGCUGGAAGCACUGGCUAAAUAUACAACGUAAAGUCAGACACUAGACACACUGGCUCCAACUCUGAAUGUGUCUUGAUUGACUUGAGAAAGUAUGUCUUACCCAUGCAGAAGAGGGUAGGCUAGAGAAGUCCUGGGAUUGGGUUUCCUUGAGUUCUGAGCCUAGCCCCCAAUUCUGUCCAGGGUUGCUGAGGCAGAGUAAUUGGACUGUAAUGACUUCUUGGCCAUUUAGAACUCUGAGUGACCUUCAUUGGAAUAGACCCAGAACUUAUAUGAAGGAGUGAAGAAGAGUUUAUCCUUAUUUGCAAUGAAUUUCAUCAGAAUGGUUUAGUUUUUUUCUGGUAAUGCUCCCUUAGAAUGAUUGAGGUUGGACGGGGCUGCGUGCAUAUGUCUGGUAACAGCUGUCCAGAAAGCACAGGGGAGCUGUUUUGGUGGUAGAAGUCUUCAGUAGCCUUGUGUGUGAAGAUUUGUUGUGUUGGACCUGGUUCUUUCUGUUCACCUGGAAGACAGAAAAAAGGACCAUCCAAACCUGCCGCAGGGAAGGUGGUGGGGAGAGCCGUGCCUCACCUUGCCCAGGGUUCCCAAGGGAAGAUGAAACCUGUCUGAGGUGGGGAGACUGGAUGUCUUUGACAGGUCAAAUCCAUCCCUGAAGCAACCUGAAGAAGGUUCAGGUACUAGGAUCCAGAGCUGGGUCCUUGGCCCCACUCUCCAUCUUUCCCCUUCUGUUUCCAGGCAGCCCUAAGCCAGGGCGGGGAUGCGGGGGCUUGGAGGGUGGAGGAGACGGCGUGGGAAUGGAACCUGGAACUCCAGAUCCCUUCCAGGAAAGAGCCCUGAGCGGCCCUAAUUCUGUAUUUGUCAUCACUGCCCUUCGUCACUGCCCACCCCUGCAGAUGGCUCCUAGCCCUUGGAUAGGCAUUGUAGGGGUUGGGGGGAGCGGGGCCAGACAGGGUUUACUAGCAUGAAGGUAGAAGAAGAUGGAAGAGGAGUACCUUAGAGCUGGCCAUAGUGCAGGAGCCACAGGCAUUGCCUUUGAUGCUACCGACUUGCAUACUAGUUAGCCGUAACCCAAAGUCUGAAAUCAGGUGAUGCCUCAAUGAGAGUUGUAUUUAAAUAUGGAAAAUUAUAUAUCCUUUUGUGUUAUUGCCAGGUACAGUUUUAGCAUCAAAAGGCCUGACAGGAGUUAGGUGUUGUGGUGCACACUUAUAAUUCCAGCAAUUUGAGAGGCUGAGGCAGGAGGAUUGCAAAUUUGAGGCCAGUCUCAGUAACUUAGAGACCCUUCUCAAAUUAAAAUAAUAAUUAAAAAAAAAAAAAGAGGCCUGGGACUGGGCUGUGGCUCAGUGGUAGAGCGCUGCUUAGCACGUGCGAGGCCCUGGGUUCCAUCCUCAGCACCACGUAAAAAGAAAUAAAAAUGAAGAUUUUUUUUUUUUUUUUUAAAGAGGCCUAAUGGACUGGGGAAAGUUGGGCGGGGGGGUGUCCUGUCUGUCUUUAAAAUAAUGCUUGUUUCAUAUUGACUGUUUGCUUUCUGUCUUAUUCCACACUCUGUUUUAUUUCUUAGGCAUUUGUGAAUACAGUCGUCCCUAAGUGUCUGUGGGGGAUUGGAUACCAAAACCUGCACAUACUCAGAUCUCUUCUGUAAAAUGGCAUCGUGUUUGCAUUUAACCUAUGCACAUUGUCUCUAGAUUACUUACAAUGCCUAAUACAUUGUCAGUGCUGUGUAAAUGGUUGUUGUGUUGUUUUAGGGAAUAAUGACAAGGGAAAAGCUUGUAUGUGUAUGGUAAAAAUGCAGUUUUAUGUAUACAUAUAUGUAUUACACACACACAUACACACACACUUUUUUCGAUCUGUGGUUGGAAUCUAGGGAUGUAGAACCUCGGAUAUAGAGAGCCAUCUGUGUUUGUCUAUGCAGUUAUGUUACUUCUUUGGGGCAGUUUUCCAGUGUCUUGGUAUCAGUGAAUGUGUGACUUUGAUUUCACAUGUAAAUAAACUACAAACUCAUGGCAAAAAAAAAACAAAACUCAGGGUUGGGGCAAGGGCAGCUGCCUAUAGAUGCCCUUCCCAAAGUCCUGGUCUGAGUCACCCAGAUGCCUGAGGAAAUGAGAUGCAGGUGUCCUUGCUAGGGCCAGCUGGCCCCACAGCCCAACAUACUCCCCCAAACCUUAUUAGCUGUUAUUUUUUUCAGCUUGAACCCUGAGUAGCAGCCUUGGAAGUCUCAGACCACAUGUCACCCUGCAAGCCUCCAAAGAAUUUAAUCUGCUGGACAACAAACAAUACUGUUAUAAAACUUUGAAAACAAGAGGGCGAGGCCUCCCUGACAAGGAGAAGGGCAUGUCGGGUAACGGCCUGAGGGAGUGUGCCAGGCCCGAGAUGGAGCCGGGCGAGAGCCCAGUUGGCUGGGUACCUGGGCGCCUGCCCCUACUCAGCCCACUCACUCUGCCACCCCGAGUCCAGGGGGGAAGGAACCAAAAUGCAAAGGGGGCCAAGAUGCACUUGAAAAGGGGAAAUUGUAUGUGUUCCCCUCUCUGUGAUCUGAUGGGAAUGCACUAGACUGUGAAACUUCCUCUUCCACCUCCCCUCCCUCCUCCCUCCCUCUUUCCCUCCCUCCUCUCCACUCUUCUCUCCUCCUCCUACUCCUGCCUCCUGCUACUCACUGUUCUUGAGACUGGCAGACAGAGGUCCUGAUAACAGAAUGAGGCUGGAAUAGCAAUGUAGGUACAGCCACAGCUGAGCCAGCUGAAGGGGAAGAGGAGAGAGCACAGACUUGCAGAUGGCUUUGGAGUUGGACUUACCUCCGUUCCGGCUCAGCCUCCCUCCCCCAGCUAGGGAAGUGGAACCACCUCACGUCACAGGGUGUGCCCGGACCAUGUGCUCUGCCAGGUGUGUGCCCAGGUACUGGGUAGAACUGCCAUUCAGUGGUUAGUGGAUGCGCCCUGGCUUCCUGGUGCCCACUUCAGGAUGUGCUCCUGGGAGGGCGUCUGACUUGGUGAAGUGCUCAGUACUCUGAGAUGCUCUGUCCUCCCAGGGAGGAGCAUAGACCACUGGAGGAGCUCCUGGGACCCAGUGAGCAGACAUGAGGUCCUGUAAGCGUGGCACCUGGUAGGACACUGUGUCUGUUACUUCUUGGCAGCUGAAGGAGGGGUGACCAGGUCUUCCUGCCGGGGGUUGGGAAGCUGGGCUCUGGGGCAUCUCUGCACUAACCUCCAAAGUCAGAUCUCCCCCGAGGCUGAAGUUACACUUCCGAGUCUGUCCUAACAGAGCCAAGUAGAUGACAAGGGAGUGGCGUUCGUGGUUUUUCUUUGGACCACAUUGGUUUGGGCCGGUGAACUGUGUGGUGGGCAUUGUGUGUGUGUGAUAGACCAUAGGCGUGCUCACUUUUCCUCUCAUGGAGUGCAAUAGCUUCCUUGAAAGUAGUUCAGGGCUGUGCCCAUCCUCCCAUCUGCCAGGGGAACCCGGAACUCCGUGCUCCAGCCUUCACUCCAUCCUUCCUCCUCCCCUAUCUCCCCACUGUCUCCAGCUGCCCCCAUUUCCCGUGUUACCCCAGAGGCAGGACAAAUAGGGAGCAUCCUCUCCAUCCAGCCAUCCCGACCCAGGCCCUCCCUGCCCUGUACAGAGUCUGGGAGCUUUUGAGACCCAGGUUUUGGUCAGUAAUUUGGAGGAAAGGAUAGAAAAACUGACUUUCAAGGAGUUCAAUUGCCUAGGAACAUGGGCUUCUGUACCUGUGACCCAGGGGAAGCCCAAAGAGCUGAUACUGGGUCCACUGGGGCUUUGGAAGGCUGUGACUUCUCUCCCUGUUACCUGAGUCGGCACUUGAGGGGGCCCACCACCUCUAAAGGAUGCUGUUCCCACUUUAGGAUUUAGGGCCUAGGACAUAAGGUGGUGCCUGAAUGCUGACCGCUUCUUCUGGGGGCUUCAGGCCAGCCAGCCAUGUUCCUCCACCCAUGGUCCCUCAACACACAUAUCCUUCAUUUUAUCACCCUUUCCUCUGAUUCAUUAACCGCAGCUAGUUGGCAGCAGGCCCUUCUCUGACAGCUAAAGACAAAAUGUCCAGGACACUGGGUCUGGGUUGGAGUUGAGACUGACAGGAAGCUGGGCAGCCCUUUCAGUCCACACAACAAUGGUCUGGGACUGUCUUGAGGGCAGGACGUUCCCCUUUUUUCAAAAAGGCCUUCUAGGCCCCCUUUCACCAAGUGAGUUCUUCCUCAUUGCCUGGAACCCUGAAACCAGCAUUCCCAGAGGCUAGAAGAUGGACGCUUGGGGCUCAGCUUCCGGCAUCCUCCCCCACUCUGGCUGGAACUUGCAUCAGUCACGUAAGUAGCUGUGACUCAGCAUCCAGCGCUGGGUCAGGAGGGAGAAGCUGCUGCCUUGGCAGGAACCUUCCCACGUUCUGCAUUUGAACACAUUGUGGUAGCACAGCGCGGGUACCGGGUUCAGCCGGUUCGUGUGUAUAUAUUUUACAAACAGGUUCCCUCUCCUUCCCAUUUUCCCCCCAUGUUAUUUUUUGGGCACCAUGCUGGGCUCAAAAUAAGAUAUUUAGGACUUUAAAACUCAGCAUCAUUUAUAGAAUGAAAUAGAAGCUGUCUUUGUGAUCUUUUGACUGUUCUUAGCCAGUGGCCCAUGAAGUGUGUUUAACCCUCAGCUCUGUUUAGUUUGGCCUGCACUUUUUUUUUUUAAUGUAUCUGAUUUUGUAUGCCUCUAGACAGAACGUGGCCUCUCCAGGCCACUAUCUCUGCUGCACGUUGUUGCUGCCUCUGUCUUUCUGUGUCCUGCCCAAGCCCUCUGAGCAUUUGCAUGUAUGGUGAUCAGUCUUCCCAGGCUGCCUCUGGACAGAUGGAGACACUGAGGCCCAUUCAGGGCAAGUGGCCGGUUCUUGUUCUCAGAUUUUAUGCCUGGCAGGCGUUCUCCUUCCCUGGGUGCUGACCUUUCCUCCGCCCUCGGGUCCCUUACCAGGCAGAAGAAUGUUCUGGAAGGUAGAAAAGCCUCUAGAUAGAAUGUGAGCGUGACAACAGACUGGGGCUGGAGUGGGGCUCCCUAGACCUUUAACCUGUCAGUGUCACAUCAGGGCUAUAUACCUACUCCUGGUGGGUGAGUAAUUUUCCUUCCUAGAUAAUCUCACUAAGACCUUCGACAAGGCCAAUUUGCUUUGGCCUAUUAGGCCGAAGCAAGAGAAUCCCAUGUCUCUCAUUGGAUGGCAGAGCCCCUAGGAAGAUGGUGAUUUCAUCGGCUGCCUUCUUCUAGAUCUAGGUGGCCCUCAGGCUCACUGCCAGGAAGAUCGAGCCCCUGCCAGCCCUUAUCAAAUCACCCAGCUACUCCCAGCUAGCACAGAACCACCAGCUUGUUUCAGAGAAGAAUCAUUGCUCAGCUGACUUUUAGAAGAAAGAACUCUGCUUCCAUUGAGAGGUCUGUGACCUGAAUGACCCUUUCACCUCCUGGGAUUGAAAAGGCAAAAGGUUUGGGUACUAAGAUUACUUUUUUUCUCCUCUUAUUUGAGAUUGUUUAAAGCAAUGCCUUGUUAAUGGGUUCUUAUCUCUUCUUCCUGAGAACUAAGAGUUUUAGAAUCCACGAGUGGGGACUGUAGGUCUUGGCUUCUGUCUUCUGGUUCCCUCGGUGGUAUUUGCUUCCUUGCAAUUGCUAGGUAUCCAGUUCCUGGGUAGCAGGAGAGACAUUACUUCAGUGUAACCCUGACAACCAAACGAGAAGGGCACAUUCUGAAGGAGAGAAUGACUUGGUCCUCUAGCAAGCGAGCCAGACUUGGGGGAGGUUUGGGGAGGCUUUCCUGAGCUGAGAUGGGGAGGGUGCCUGGGGGGUGGUAGCUAAGGGAGAGUGGAUGGAUGGAUUCCAGGAGGAGGGGGCAGCAGAGUCAGGGCCUGUGGCAGGAGGAAAGGUGCUUUAAGGAUCACUGCAGGACACCUGUGCAAGGGCAGUUAGGAGGGGGUUUGUCAGUUCUCCUAACUGAAAGUGCUACGGAGGAGUUUCACUGAAAUGAAAAGCAGCUAAGCCGAGAAUUAGCCUAUGUGAAUCUCAACCAUCCCUCUCAUUUUAUAGGAUUUGGAUCUUUGGUAAUAAAUGUCAUGACAUUCUUGACCUUAAAACCCUCACUGUCACUGUCCACUCGAACCCAGUGUUGGUUGCAAAUGUCAACCCCAGAUCUGCCCCUCAGUUCCCCCACGUGCAGAUGAGGCCCUGGGGCAUCCCAUGAUGGACGGCAGAGCCUGCUGUUGGUGUUAGAAUUACUGGAGUGGGUUCCUUACCAGCAAUUUCCUCACUGCUGGGGGAGUCAUGCUGAAGGAGGACCUAAGGCUCCAGAGAGAGCAGUAGCUACCCAAAUCCACCUGACCUCUUGCAGAACCAAAAUCAUGCCCCCAUCUUCACUCAAGUAUAAUGUGUUCUAUAGUCAGUAUAAUUCCCACUUCCUUGCAGAAAUAUGGCCUCCAUAUUUCCUCCCUCCCCCCAAAUUGCUCAGAGUUAAGUUCGGGAACACAGUGAGAUGAUAGUCAAGCUGUGGAGCAGGCAGCAGUGGACAGAGGGGUGGGAACACGGACUUGGGAGGUAGCUCUGGAUCUGUGUUUAUGGAUCAUGUGACUUCAGACAACUUAUUUAUCCUCAUUAAGGAUCAAUUUAUUUGCCUGCAAAAAUUGGAGCAAUACCUGUGUCAUUGACUGUUGUGAGAAUUAAACUCUUGAUAUUCAAAUUUUAUUUCCUUAUUUUUGUUGUAGCAACAUAUAACCUUAUUGCCAGGGGCCAUGAAAAAAGAUAAGUUUAUGUCUUGAGGCCUAAAGAAUUGGUUGGGAACCCAAAACAUGGCUUUGGCUGUCUCUUCUCUCUCUGGGUUAUGGCAUCAGAGGAAACACACCUAUUUUCUUCACUUCAAAUAGCCAUAAAAAAAGAUGAUACGAAAGAGGAAAUCUAAUUUGGAACAUGAUUUGGAAAUUUAUUUUCAGGCGAACUUCAGAAUCAAAGCUCAGUUUCAAUUAUGUGAAUUCAGUACAAUGGUAGUCAUGUGAGAGGUUAAAUCCAGUAAGUCAGUUAAAGGUGUCAGAUUUGAAUGUCUUGAUACUGAUAUGCAGUGUGGUAAGAAGGAGCCCUUGCUCUUUAGGAAACAUCGCUCUGGACAGGUGAAACUCACCUUUGUAUACCCGCCGCCGGUGCCUCAGAAGCACAUAGGCUGCUUGUGUCCUGAUGGAGGGAGAUAAUGUAUCUAGAGACACUUUGUGUGCUGGGAAAUAUAUAAAGGCUAAGGUGGUAUGAAUGUAAAAUUAAUAUAUUUUAAAAUUAAAUACUUUGGAUUUGGCUGUUUUAUUUCAUCAUGUGUGAUAGUUUAUAGUGACUGGUUGUGAAAUGAAACAGAGUUAAUGAGUUUCGUAUUGCUCUUAUCUGUUAGAUUUCCUACCUCUCCUCAGUGUCUUUCUAAUGGAUCAUUCAUUCUGUCAUGUCACAGUAGAAGACAUUUCUCCUCAGGGUGGAGGCCUGUCUUCCCAUCGCAUCUCCCUGCCUUCUUCGGUGAGAUCCUCUUCUUCUGGAAGCUGGUUUCACAUGGUGGCUUAGAUUUUUCCAUCUUUGUAUCUAGCACCAUUUGAAAUCAGUGUUUUAGGAGUAAGAAUUGCAGCUCUGCAAAGGAUGGACUGGAGAGGAGCUGCUGCUCAAGGGACUGACUCUUUUCGCUGCUUGAGCCUGUUAAGAAGUCAAGGGAAGAUUUGGAAAGCAAAAGUCACUCAAGAAGAUGUUGGAUGUGGGCGGGGCCACAGCAGGAGUCGGGGGCGGGGCUUGUGUUUACUGUAAAUGCAGUAGCUUGAGCAGGGCACAGCCCACCACUAGCACCUGUCUCUAGCAUCACUGAAUUGGUAGGGCCUCUGAGUGCAGUGAUUGUGCUGUUCAGAUGGGUGAUGAUGUAUUGGGUGUCGACUGUAACAGGGAAGGGCAGAGGGCUGUAUACCUGGAGGACUGUCACCUCAGCACUGCCCGCAUGCUCCUGGAGGAUGCCCUGGAGUAUUCCGCUGGAAUCAGAUUUGCCACCUGCAGAGGUGCAGACCCGAGGAGCACUACUGGCCCAUCUCUUACACAGGCUGACCGAUUUCUCCUGGUGUUCAGAGUCUGUUUUUGUCUAGCACCAUUUGAAAUCGGUUAUGAUGUAGGGGGAAAAGCAGCAACCUCACAGCCUCAUGCCAAGUCUGGUCAGCAGCAGCCUGUGGUUUCCUGGAAGAUGGAUGGGCAGAGAGUGGGGAAGGAAGAUCACACUUUCCCUGCUAACUUCUUUAGCUGCAUUCAUGAUAUGUUAUUGGAGAGGUAAGAGGUAAUUCAGUGGAUUUUUAAAAACAAAUCACUAUAAUUUAUAUGAUGUCCUCAGUUGCAUUUUCUGAAAUGUAAUAUUGCUGCGAAUUGUGUAAAUUGGUUGCCGUUGAAUUAUCUUUCUGCUAAGUAGUCUGUUCAUGCAUCCCGACUUUAAUAAAUAAUUUCAUAUAUUCAAUUUA
Molecule: long non-coding RNA, 16609 nt
Organism: Marmota monax (woodchuck)
Lineage: Eukaryota; Metazoa; Chordata; Mammalia; Rodentia; Sciuridae
Exons: 4
Source: RefSeq, a predicted model, not a curated record